Molecule: ribosomal RNA, 1134 nt
Filed under: Triticum aestivum (bread wheat)
Lineage: Eukaryota; Viridiplantae; Streptophyta; Magnoliopsida; Poales; Poaceae
Description: partial small subunit ribosomal RNA
Source: RNAcentral
AUGGCCAUGAGGAACGCGACGCAGCAGGUGGUCCGGGCCUUGGAGCCGUCACUCACCAGGAGCCUUCAUGCGUCCCCGGGCAGCAAGAAGAUCGUGGGCGUGUUCUACAAGGGCGGCGAGUACGCGGGGCAGAACCCCAACUUCGUGGGGUGCGUGGAGAACGCGCUGGGCAUCCGCAGCUGGCUCGAGUCGCAGGGCCACCAGUACAUCGUCACCGACGACAAGGACGGCCCCAACUGCGAGCUGGAGAAGCACAUCGCGGACGCGCACGUGCUCAUCACCACGCCGUUCCACCCGGCGUACGUGAGCGCGGACCGGAUCAGGCGCGGCAAGAACCUGGAGCUGCUCCUCACGGCCGGGAUCGGCUCCGACCACAUCGAGUUGCCGGCGGCGGCGGCCGCGGGGCUGACCGUCGCCGAGGUCACGGGCAGCAACACGGUGUCGGUGGCGGAGGACCAGCUGAUGCGCAUCCUGGUCCUCAUGCGCAACUUCCUGCCGGGCCACCACCAGGCCAUCAGCGGGGAGUGGGACCUCGCCGGCAUCGCGCACCGGGCCUACGACCUGGAGGGCAAGACGGUGGGCACCGUCGGCGCCGGCCGCAUCGGGAAGCUGCUGCUCCAGCGCCUCAAGCCAUUCGGCUGCAACCUGCUCUACCACGACAGGCUCCGCGUCGACGCCGCGCUGGAGGAGGAGCUCGGCGCCGCCUUCGAGGAGGACCUCGACGCCAUGCUGCCCAAGUGCGACGUCGUCGUGCUCAACAUGCCACUCACCGAGAAAACAAAGGGCAUGUUCAACAAGGAGAAGAUCGCCAAGAUGAAGAAAGGCGUCAUCAUCGUGAACAAUGCUCGUGGAGCAAUCAUGGACACGCAGGCAGUGGCAGACGCUUGCAAGAGUGGGCACAUCGCUGGAUACGGCGGCGACGUGUGGUACCCGCAGCCGGCGCCCAAGGAGCACCCGUGGAGGUACAUGCCCAACAACGCCAUGACCCCGCACAUCUCCGGCACCACCAUUGACGGCCAGCUGAGGUACGCGGCCGGUGUGAAGGACAUGCUGGAGAGGUACUUCAAGGGGCAGGACUUCCCGGAGCCCAACUACAUUGUCAAGGAAGGCAAGCUCGCCAGCCAGUACCAGUGA